UCAUGAAAAUGCAAUAUAAAAUAUAAGUUCAAAAUAGUAUUUUGAAGGAGACAGAAUCAUGAUAUAUCAAAGCAUGACAUCAAAACCAAAAUCCUAAACUAGGUACCAUAUCAAUUACAAAUGACUACUUGCAAUGCAAUUUGCAAAACUUACAUGACCAGGAGGAAAAAUAAUAUCACAACCAGUCAACCAUACUGAUUAAAUAAAAAGUGCUUCCAUUUCUUGUCUCCUGCAUUCAUCCUAAAGCCAUUGAGGGGGUCUACUCGAUAAAGAUCACAUUUUCAGCCAAGCCUACUGGGAACCAUGAAUGUACAUUGAGAAAAAGAAAAAACAAAAACCUGUCAAUAUAUAUACCAGUUAAAGACCAUCAAAGCAUAUAGCAUUCAGCACCUGAUAAAUAUAACUGAACCAUAAUAUCUGUUGCUAUAGUAUUUGUUAAUAUAAGGUAUGCUUCAAUUACCAGUAGCAUUGCAGUCAACCCGUGCUACCAACCUUAAGAAAUUAGAAAUGUAGUGAUCCUGCAUCAAAAUAGUAGAAGUUACUUCUAUAGACAAAUUCCUCUGCUGGAACCAUGAUACUUGUCAAAUAGGAUGUCAAAGUGAUUCAGUUUCAUUUUAUUCUCACAAAAGAACAUUACUGAUAUGAUUAAUUAUUUCUUCUUAUAACUAAAUCAGAAUUACAGAACCAUGAGGUUCUGGUUGUGGUGUGGCAGAAUUUAUAUCAACACAAUAUAAGGGGCAGUGGAUAAUUUUCUUCUUUAUUACAAGAACAAGAAUGCUGAACUCAAGUCCUAAUCUCUUCUGCCAUGAUAACAGAAUAUACUGGUAACUAGUUAAUAAAUUAACAGCUUUACUAGCAAUAUUGAGCAGAAGGAACUCAUAAAAAAGUAUCAAGUACAAACUAGUAAAUACAAGAUUGGCUAUAGAGAGAAGCCAAAUCAUAUCAAGAUCUCAUCACAUCUGUCUGCAAAUGUAUUUCAUGAUUUAAUGCCCUGAAACUCGUGCCAUGAAAAAGAAAUUCUAUGUAUGAGAGAGUUCAUGUUUAGCAGAUAAAAUGAAUUAGAUCAUACAUUCAUACAUUACAAUGCAAGUUACUAGAAUCUCAAAAGGACAGUGUGUUUAUUGAUAUAACAAAUAGCAAGUUUCAGGACAGAGAAGAUAAGCAGAACUGAGAUUGAUGAAACUCGAUUAAUGUUUAGUAACGCAUAUUGUAUGUCUGUGACAUUGCAAUGCCCAAGAGUUUUUAUUUUUGUUUUAAUUAUUCAAUUAUUUAUAUUAAUUUCAGGGAAGAGCUAAGAGAACCUUAUCAUGAAAAUUCAAGAUAAAAUAUAAGUUCCAAAGAGUAUAUUUUGAAGGAGACAGAGACAGGAUAUAUCAAAUAACAAAUGACUACUUGAAUGAAUCAGCAAAACUUACAUGACAAGGAAAAAUAAUAUCACAUCCAUACCGAUUAAAUAAAAAAUGCUUCCAUUUCUUCUCUCCUGCAAUCAUCCUAAAGUCAUUGUGGGGGUCUACUUGAUAAAGAUCACCUUCCACACCAAGCCUACUGGGAACGACGAAUGCACAUUGAGAAAAAGAAUGAACAAAUUGAACCUUAUAAAGAACAUCAAAGCAUAUAGCAUUCAACACCUGAUAAAAUAAUUGAACCUCUAUAUAUGUUGUCUAUAGUGAUUUGUGAAUAUAAGGUAUGGCUUCAAUUACCAGUAGCAUUGUAGUCAACACAUUAAGAAAUGUAGUGAUCCAGCAUCAAAAGAGUAAUAGAAGUUACUUUUAAAGACAGAUUCCUCUAGUGGAACCAUGAUACUUGUCAAAUAGGAUGUCAAAGUGAUUCCAGUAACUUAUUAUUCCAGUAACUUGGAAGGCAUCAAAAUCUUCUAACUCAAAUGCCAAUACAACACAAUAGAGAUCAGUUAAUUACCAUUAUAAUUUCAAAAGUCUCAGGCAAUUUUCUGGGACCAUUUUGCAGGUAGCUUGUAAUGUUGGUGGUUCNNNNNNNNNNNNNNNNNNNNUGGUGUAGAAAGUUGGAUCAAGACUACCUAAUAUAGCUUGAAACAUAAUUGAAACCCAGAGGAGGAGGGACAUGUGAAAGGGGAUUCAUACCUCAGUGUCGGUCUCUAUCAGUGUGCAGAGACAUGGACCACACCAUGGAUAGCAGGGAUGAAUAGCCUUAUGGGUUGUGCUAUAUAUACAUGAGGAUCGGAGUUAACUGUUCUUCAAUGUGUGCUUCUUCUACCAGAGUAUUAGCUAGCUAGAAACCCAGUUCUUCUACUAGAGUAUUAGCUAGCUAGAAACCCAGUUUUCCUUUGCUUUGCUUUCCAGUAGAAAUGAGAAACUUGUUGCUUCUCCUCAGUGUGGUGGUGUUUGUUGUUGGGUUGCUCGCUCCAAUCAAUGGAGUAGGGCGCUCAUCAACAACAACCCAUGCCACCGUGUCUCCUGCCUCUUCCCCUCAGCCUCCACCCGCUCAUAUUCUACCUAAAGGCUCCGCCACGUUCGGCUUCAUUCUCCUCGGAUUCGCCAUAGUUGCUCUUGGCUAUUGGUGGGCUUCCUUCUUUUGGUCUUUGAUAGUCAUCGAAGAUAGACCGAGGGUGGUCGUGAGAGCGGCGACAAGAGGGGUGUUGGACUGUUUUCCUAUCUUUAUAGCCAUCCUCAAACUGUACAUCGCUGCAUAUCUAACCGUCAAAAUGUUCUGGCCGGCGAUGCGAGUGAUAGAUGCCCACAGAGUGCCACCGUGGGAAAAUAUUUGGGAGCCAGUUUAAGCUUUAACUGAGUUUUUUAUUUUUUUAUGCUUUUCUGUUAGUUGCCAAUUACUAAGAUUUGAGAUGGGUAACUCUUUUUUCCCGAAAGGCUUUUUUUAGCGAGGCCCAAUGUUUGUAACCGUUCUAAUAGUAAUUGAUAUUUUACUUUGUUAAAAUCAGUCUCAAGGUUCCAAUGUCGGAGUGUCUUGUGUGCACGGCCGUUUAUGUACACGGCCAUGUGCUGCGUACAUGAUGUGAGAAAUGCGUCGAAUAUAAAAAGGUGUUAGUCAAGCAGACGUUAUCCAGACUUAAGAAGAAAAAAAAAAAGUAAAAAUCUCUCAAACGCAGUAAAACAUGCGAACAGUUGGGAUUCAGUCCAACCACUACUCCUCUUACUUCCUCGAAUCCUCGGUCUACUGUACUCAAGCAAUCGAUUGACAUUGCUUUCAACAGUUUCAACAACCCAAAAUUAUAGCAAGGUUUGAAACCCCGGCGUUAGAUUCAAUCCGAAAUUGGGGAAAAGUUCAUGUGUUCGGGAAUUUGCAGCCGAUUGAAGGAUUCAUCUUGUUGGUAACUGCCAUUUGGUUGGUGUAGGUAACAAUGAGUGAGUAGAGGCAGGAUGCGGUGAUGGUGCAGUCAUCUUCUUCGCCCAUAGACUCUUCCAAUAUUGGGUUCUAAGUACCCGCUCCUAUUCCUAACCGUAUGGUUUCGAUGUAUUCGAUUUCAACUUUAAACGUUGAAAUCUUUGGGUCCAGAUUGUAGGUGAACAAUAUCAUAUGCUUUGAUUUUAUACUAUCAAUUUAAUGCACAAAAUGACAUUCAUGAUUCAUCAGUUUAAACUUGAUUCUGUCAUGUUUGGAGUUUCUUCAUUGUCUAAAAUAUUGGCUUAAAAUGCUCUUACAAGUUUGUUGACCACUACUGUUUCCCUGGUUUCUUAGAAAAAUUUCAAUUAUAGUGGCAUUUAACAAUCACUAAACCUGAACCAAAGUAAUACAAUAAAGAAGAAAUAAAUGAAAUUUACAACCAUUGUUCGUAAGGAGUUUACAGUUAAGUAGGAGAAACUUUCAAUCACCUAAUAAGCCUAGUCAUUUUUAUAUGAUCAUGUCCACAAUGUUACAUGGACCCCCCAUUAUCAAAAUAACAGAUAUCACCAGUGUUUUACCACCCAUCUUUAUCCGAGGACUCAGCAGUUCCCUUGUCAUCUGCUACGUAACCUGCAGACAUCAUAAUUAUUUUAUAAUGUUAAUCUAUUCAUGGCUGACAUGAAAAAAUAUUAAUGAAAAGUAAGGUGUGAGAAAUAAGAGGCCUGAACAGAAAGGAUCACGAAAGGAAGCAACCAGCUGCUAGACAAAAUAGCCAAAUAGGUUCAGGGUCCAGAUGCUUAAAUAGCAAAUCAGUUUAGUAAAGAAAAUGAAACCAUCUCCCUAGUUUACUCUUCUACCCUUUGUUGCUUGUAUCUAAUUUUUGCUCAUUAAUAUAAAUUUUGGACAUGUUGGGUAGUUUAAUUUUUGCUUACAGUUUUUCAAUAGCACUUCAGAGCUGUCCAGUCAGCUUGUCUGCUGAUGAGGCUGUUUUGGCUCAUUGCAGAAGAUACAGUAUCAAGAAAGAUCCAGAUUGAAGUCAGAUCAAAAUCAAUCAUGUUAGAUUUGUUAAGACAAAACCUCAGGUCUUUUUACAAGCUGCCUACUUAUUUUUGCUAUAUUUUCACCAGUGCAAAAAUGAAACUUGAAGCUAACAUGCACAUGAAACACUCCAGAUUAACAUAAUUGAAUUUCAAUGGUGGAAACAAGCGUAAACAUAUUUAUGAAUUAAAAAGUACCUUUCCAAUAACUGGUGAAGGCUUUUUUGAUCCAAUAUCAAGACCCUGAUUCAUCUGUGCCGCAAAGCCAUAAAUAUUUUGUCCCUGUAAUAUAUAUUGUACAACCUGUAAACUGUUUUUAAGCUUCAACAAAAAGAACUCAAUAAAGACUUUGUCAAAUUGAGCAAAACACGUCAACUAAAAUCCAAUCCACAGCUCCGAUCCAUUUAGGCUAUGGAUUGGAUACGAAGGAAUACCACAACUUUCUGUUGGAUUAUUGUAAUAUCAUAAGGCUACUUCAUAUUGAUUAAGCAAAACUCUUUCUCAAUGCAAACAAUAGUUAUAAAAUUGGAAAUGAAACAGGUCAUGAGUGCAUUGGUCACAAAACACAAGCAUAAGAAUGUCAAAAUUUAGUACAUCAAAGACACAGCUAAAAAAGAAGAAGAAAAAAAAAAAGGCUAUGCCAGCAUGGUUUUUGAAACAACUGAAUACAAGACUAACAUAGGCAAGAAUGGUCGAUGGGCAAGAAAACAACUAGUGAGUGGUUAUUUCUCUCAACAUAUAACUGUUAACAAACUUAAUAAACUCAGUGUUAUCUCUGAAUGACAAGGCAAUCUUCUGAACACUUUUUUCUAUCAGACUGCUUGAAUAUCAGACUACCUCAGCAUAUCAGACUACUUGUUGUAGGAAGCGAGAAAUCUCAACUGAAGUUUCUCAUAACAUGUAAGACAAGUAGGCAAGGCAAUCUUCUGGACACUUUUUUCUAUCAGACUGCUUGAAUAUCAGACUACCUCAGCAUAUCAGACUACUUGCUGAAGUUUGAAGCGGGACAUCUCAACUGAAGUUUCUCAUAACAUGUAAGACAAGUAGGCAACCACUAAACUCAGAAAUUGGAACCAUUUAUAAAUGAACUAUUGGUCUUAAGUUUUCAUUAAAAAUCAUAAUAAUAAAAACCAUGUAUGUUUCAAGGUAGCAUUGCCAAAUUAUUGGAGGUAGAAAAGGCUGAAGAGCUAUUGCAAUCAGCUUAUACUGUUGAAUGCAAAAGGAAAUUGCAAGGAAAUCUUCAAGGAACAAUAUAACAAUAUUGCACUUCAUUAACAUAAAAGCCAUGUGCAUAUCAGACUACUUAAGCAUAAUAGACAAUGGACUACUUCAACAAAAGCCAUAUGCAUAUCAGACUAUUUAAACAAAAAUUUCAAGCAUCUCGGAAAUUUCAAUGCAUCAAACUGAGAAGUUCCCAACUAUUUGAUCAUCCUUUCAAAUCGUAGAAACAAAAAAUGCAUAUCAAAAAAGUUAACCAGAGGCAUUACUUUAAUUACUGUUCUUAAAUGUUGCCAGUUAACUUGUAAAAAUAGAACAAGGCAUAUUAGUUUAUAAAAACAGACCAUUAGGAAGUAUAUGCCCUUCAACCAGCAAACUAGAACUGCUAGACACAGAUUAAUAAUCACAAUAGAACUACUGAGCUAUUAGACUCCCCUGAGCUACUAAUGUGGUGUAUUUAGGGAAACUGGUAUAUAUAGAAAGAACUGUGAGUAUAAUAAAACAGUAAUCAGAUUGAAAUUACCCUCAAAGAAAUUGACACCAUAAACAUAUAAAAUCAGUCAAAGCCACAUCUAAUAUUCACAGGAACAUAGAAAUCAAUGAGCUACUCAAAGAAAUUGACAGUAAAACAGUAAUCAGAUUGAAAUUACCCUCAAAGAAAUUGACACCAUAAACAUAUAAAAUCAGUCAAAGCCACAUCUAAUAUUCACAGGAACAAAGAAAUCAACGAGCAAAAAAAAAAAAAAAAAAAACCCAGCCAUGAAAUUGAUCAAAUCUCAGCAGAACAAGCUACCCAGACACUGAAUCCAUAAUCAAUCAAUCAAAUACAUACAACCCAUAAACAAUUUUCUAAGCAAUCGAUCAAUUACUCAAUUUCAGAUCAAGAAAAAAAAAGCGGAGAGGGGUUUGAAGAUGAGACCGAGAGAGAGAGAGGAGAUGGGACCUAGUGUCGGCAAGUCGAAGCAAUGAGACGAUGAAUUUCACACUUGGAGCAUUGGAGAGCCGAUCGGUGAGAGAACAAUCUUUACAAAUCAAUAUGCCCCAAAUUAAUAUUUGUGAAGUAGACCUUUAAUACCCAGUGUACCAAGAACAAAAUUGAUGUCAAAAAUCAUCAUAAUCAAAGAUAUUGGAAAUGGAAUAGAUACAAACUAACCAGAAUCAAAUUUCCAAGCAACAUUGAUCCAUUGAUGCUGACAUUCGAGACGAAGUGAUGCCAGUCAGAGAGAUUGGGCGUCCCGUUCCUUCAUAUCAAAGCCCCGAAAUAGCGUUCCGACCUGACUGGGUUGUUUGACCUUCACAGCUUUGCCGACUCGUCCUGACUACUGGCAGCCGAGUCGGGAAUGGACGAGAUCCAAGUUAUUGAAAUUUUACCCGGAGAGUAGUUUACCCAUUUUUUUUUUUACCCUUCCAACUCAAUGACACGUUGACUGUUACAAAAAGUAAGCAUUAAUCAAUGACUUACAUUACUUCUUUCUCAGCCCUCAUAUGGAGGAUUUCAAUUUAACCACGUGUCACAUGAUCCUGCCGUAUACCUCCACGGCCGUGUAUAGAAGAUUUUCGCUUUUCAUAGACGUUAAAUGAUAUGGGUCAUGUGUAAAAAUAGAUACACGUGUUCUUGGCUUAUUCGUUGGCAUCACUAUCCAGCAGAAACACACAAAAUAAGGAGAAACAAACAUUGGAACAGUUUCCUCUCUCCUCCACCGCCAACUUCCGAGCACCACCGUGACCGACAUCAAAAACCAAUUCACUCGCCGAUAUAUAUGUACCCAGAAUUUUCUCUAAUCUGAGAAAGUUGGUCAUGACGCUGAAGAUGCAGAUCUAAGAAAAAACCCAAUCUAGAACUCUGAAGUUCAAUUACUGAUGAAGGUGCACUGCAGGUAUUUGGUGAAGAUGCAGAUCACAAUUGUGAUGUAUAUAGAAUGGUUGAGUUUUUUUUUACAAGUAUCAGAUGGUUGAGUUGAUGCAGACCAAAUGAUGAAGAAAAGUAAAAGAGCAGAAGGAAGAAGAAGAAAGAAGACGAUGAUGCUUCAAAUUAAGAAAAAAGUGUUUAUUUAUUGAUAAAACUUGUUUGUAUAUUGUCGACAAGACCUUGUGGUCUAGUGGUUCAGACCAUUUUUGAGUUGUACGACGUAAGGGGUUCGAUUCUUAUCCUUGCCUAAUUCUUUUCAUUUUGUUGAAGAUUUUUUUUUUGUUUGUUAUUAUUUAUUGAUAUUCGGGCAAUUAGAGAUAUUAUUUGUGUAAUUAAUUUAAUAAAUGUUUAUUAAGAGAUUUUUUUUUUCGAGUAUAAAUUCCUCCCUUAUGGAGUCACCAAGUGAGUGUAGGCAUUUUCGAACAAUUAUUCAAGCACCGAAGCUAUUUAUUAUGAUUUUUUGAAGUAGAAAUUAUAGUAAAUCAUGGUAAUUAUGCAAUUUAGAAACUCCGAAAAUCAUAACAUAUAGCUCCGUGCCCGAAUAAUUAUAUGAAAAUUCUUACACUUUCUCGAUGAAGCGUUCAGUCCAUCCAUGUGAAAAUUUUAGGAUAUUUACAUCACUUAACUAAUUAUAUUUAAUAAUUAUAAUUUGCCUUUAAGUGACAAUGGAUUAGAGUUGACCAUUUCGAUCGAGCCCUGAACGUUGCCGAAUCGAGUUGAAUUUUAUACCAUAACCAUUUUUCACUAUUAUGAUCAUAUCAGACGGUCGAAUUUUCAUUUUGUGAAUUUUAUUCAUUUGAAUCACAACAUGUCUACUAAUGUGGUAUAACUUGUUUAAUAGGUUAUAAACAAGUGUACAUCUUUGUGAACCAACUACACAUAGGAAGCAAAAAUUUUAAAAAUCUUAUGAAAUAGGAUGUGAUUGAAAUAAUGAAAUACGGCUAUGAUUGAAAAAUCAUGCAUUUCGGGUAACGUCUCAUUCCCGAUAAAAGCGUCAACCCUAUUCACAUUUAAUAUUUCCUAUGGGGAGCCCUAUCGUCGGGACAAUUGAGGACAAGCGCCCAAAUGAUUAAUUGAUUUUUUAUUUUUGUAUUUUUUUUAUCGGAUAUUUUUGUAUUUUCUAAUAGAAAUUUAUUUUGUAAAUAAAAUUAUUUAAGUUUUUAAUGUCCAACAAUUAAUUGAAAAUAUUCUAGAUAGAUAGAAAAACAUUUUAGAUUUUAAACAAUCAUCAUCUAUUAUUAGAGCUUAUCCAAAAUACCUCACUUGCGAUUCAGAUUCUCUCAUCUCCUCUAUUGGGCAAAAAGCAAACACAACACUAUUUAUGUGGCACGCUCAACAUGUUGCCCGACUCUCUUCCAAUUUUCCAUCUCCAACGAUUUUGUUUCUAGCAACCCAAAACCCCAUCUCAAAAAUAAAGCAAAACGUAAUAGCUUUCUCUAAUUAUAAAGUUCAAACACUGAGAAACCAACUCAAACCCAAUAAUUUGUAUUUUUUUUGUUUCAAUUCUCUAUCUGGGUGUUUCCAACAAUCGUGGUUAGCUUCGCCUUCCUUAGAUGUGGUAGAUGUGGAGCAAUUUAGUUCAGAUCCAUAAUUCUUGUUGAACUCUUGCUUCAAAAACAUCCAGGAUCUUGCAUUGAUGAGCUACCCAGCCACCCUCCUAAGCUGUCUAGGCCGCCCAACCACCUGCCUAAGCCGCCCAGCCUGCCUAGGCGGCCCAAAAAAUUAGCCAACCAACUAGGCAUGCUGAUUACAUCGAAAUCUGGACGGGCAGCCACCGAUGAGCGCCUAGGCGCUGCCUGAUCCGAUUUUUGACACCUUGACUACAUGUAAAAUAAAGGUGGAAUAAACAUUUGAGUACCAUACAUUCUUGUAUACGAAAUACCCAAAUUAUUUUAUAGUUUUUUUCUUGUCAAUGGUAAUUUUUAUAUUCUUUUCUCAUUUUCCAUAAUUUUUUCUUCUUUGUCUAUUUAAUUGUUCAUUACCAAAUUUAAAAGAAACUUUUUUCAUUUUAUUUUAACUUCUUUUGGGUAUUACGUACAUGUUCCCAAAUAAUUUCAUAAUCAACUAUUGACAAAAUUUUACAUGUGUAAUAUCUCCAAAAUAUAAAAUGACAAGGCAUCAGAUGUAAGAUACAUAUGUGUAUAUGUAUAUGUAUGUAUUUCGAGGAAGGAAUUAAAUGGUAGGGAAAAAAAAAAACACAGAGACCGAUAUAUAGAUUUUUGGUUGACAACUUGCUACUUUCCUUACGGUUGGUCCAACGGUUGGGUCGCUAGGCACUAAUCCGAAUGCUAGCGUGCAAGCUUUUCCUUAACUUAUGAUCUGCUGAAGUGACGAAAAGAGGACAGUGGGUUUCUUUUAGUUUGGAAAAUACCAAGAAAUCCUCUUCUGGGCUUAAGAUGUAUAAACCCAGCGAUUUCAUAACAUAUAUGCAUAAUUUUCGACUUGUUUCUUCUUCUUUAGUCAAUUAGCACGAAAUACAAUAUAUAUAUAUAUAUAUAUAUAUAUAUAUAUUAGAUCUUGAUUUUCGACUUGCUUCAUGACGAACAGAGGAAACUGAAAUGAAUGGAUAUGGGAGGAGAAAAAAUUGAAAUAGAAAAAGAUGUUUCUGUCUUCUGCGUGGUAGUUGAUUCUCCAGAGGAAGAAGACGAUAAUCAACGGUUGUGAUUAUCUAAUUUCUUUCCAAAAAAUUGCAAAGUGGUCGAACGAGAAGAUCGACAAAAAACUGCAAGGAACCCAUCUUUCUCAUUUGACUUGAAUCUCCAGAGCCAUUACUAUUUAUGGGCUUGCUUGUGUUGCUUUGGUGGUGGUGAUUGGUUCUAUGGAGCAAGCACGAACCGAGAGAAUUUCAAGUGGGAAGAGACUUCAUUUUAGAUGAUUGUGUUUAUGGGUUUUUGAUCUUUGAUGUAUUUAUGGAGCAAAUCAUAAAUUUUUCAGACACAUCAAUCUGAUCAAACCCCUUCUUCGUUUCAUCCGGAUCGGAGCUCCAACAAUGUCAAUAUGCUGAAACCCCUACAUCUAGAACGAAGGGACAAAAAUACCCCUGACAAAAUUGCCAACUAACAACCUUUAUAACGGCGACAAAAAUACCAAAAUUCGGUCGGGAUAAAAAUUUGAGAUACCAUGUUUUACAAAUUUGAGAUACUAAAGUUUAUAAAGAAUAAAAAUUGAGAUAGAACAAUUUUUUUUUUUUUUUCUAUUCGUAUAUUGAAGCAAGCAGAGAACCCGAUCCUAAGAUAAGCAUGCCUCUGUAUGUGUAACGUGUAGUACAGUGCUCGACUCCAAACCCCUCAUGUAUUUGUCUUUUCUUUAGGUAAAAAAAACUUUUAAUAAGAAAACGCUGCGUUUUGGCCGCUGCUGCGUCGCUAAAGACCAGGCCCUCCAAAUCGAACAAAUUCAAAUGAAGAUUUCAAGACCCUUCGCUCUGUAAAACCCUAAACCCCUCCGUCUUUCUUCUCACCCCAUUUCCGCCAAACCCUUAGCUUCAAGCCUUUCAAACCCCAUAAACGCUACGCCAUCAGAGCAGUCUCCGACUUCCCCCAAAUUUCCGGUCAGAUUCCGCGGGACAUUCGCUCUUUCGCCGGCCGGAGCAAGAAGAAGGCGGGAGGAGGUCCGGCGAAGACGGUCGAAUCGACGCGAACUCCGAGUUUCGCAAGGAGGCGAAGAGAAAGACGAGCUCCAGCAAAUCGGGCUCGGGUACGACCGCAUGGGACGACCCGAAUUGAAAUGAGGAAGAGUGGGAUUUGAAAUGAGUCAAGAUUUUGGGUUAGUGGUGGAAGCUGAGAAGAAGAAGAGGUUGGAUACGUGGAGCUUGAUGGGUAGGGUUAGGGAUUCGGCUAGGUCUUUGAUGGGAGUGGUGAGAUGUGUACUUAUUAUGGGGGGUUGUGUAAGAUUGUGGAGGUGAAUCAGGACUUGGGGUUUUUGCUGAAGAAUCAUCCUGUUAAGUUGUUGCAUCCUUAUACAAAAGAGUGGAAGGCUAAGUUGGAGGAGUGGGAGUUGGGGUUUUGAUGCUCCGGAUAGUGAUGAUGCUGACCUCCCUAUCAAUGCGGCAGAGAAGGAGUUUACGGAUUGGGUUGAGGUUGACAAUGAGGAUGGAAAUGAGGGUGACAGUGGUGAGGAAAGUUAUAGAUACGGUCAUAUGGAAGAGGGUAAAGAUGAUGUCUUGGGUCUCGAGGACGAGGGUUUGAGUGAAGAAGAGGAUGAGAAGUAUUGGAGGAUGAGUUUAAAAAGGCCGCCACUAGUGCUGAAGCAAUGGAAAAACUAGCAAAACAGAGUAUAGAGAUAACUGAUAAGUUUUACAAGAAACAAUUGAGGUAAAUGGAAGGAAAUGAAGGUGGGAACUCGGUCGAUGAUGGUGAUGAAACUGCCAUGUGGGGAAGACGACUGAAAAUAAGUGAAGAAGAAUGGAAGUUUGCUGGGUAUGGUCCAUGGAAGAAAAGGAUAAAGAAGAGUGGAAUUCUCCACAGCUGUUCUUGCGAGCAGCAGUUAAGGAAGAAUGAAUAUUUCAGAAAUAUAAAGACGAGGUACAUUUUUAAAUCUAAAGGAAGAAUGAAUUUUAUUGUACCUUUUCUUUGCUUAUUGAUGGAUAUGAGAUUGAUUGUUGCAGGAUUCAAAUGGGAUGAAAAGUAGAUUAAUGGAGGUAGCUGUGGUGAUUUCUUGGUUUUCGCAAAAUAGGUUCGAUAGGUAGAUGAAGCUGAAGAUGAAGAUGAAAAUGACGGGAAAAGGGAGUUGAAGAAAUCAAAGGUAUCAUGACUUGCAUUUAGAGUAAGUUUGUUUGUUUAACUUACCGGUGUGUCACGUACAUGAUGCUAGAUGGGCUACAAUAACUGGAAUAUAGUCAUACUUGAGAUAUUAUAUGCCGCUUGCAGAUUUGUUAUUGCAUCUGUACUUAGAGCUCAUAUUGAGAUUGCCAUUAAUGGUUCAAAUUGUUUCUUUUGCUGUUCAGAAGGAUUCCUCAUCUGCUGCGACCCAUGGCGAAGCCGAGUACGCCAAGUCUGGAAGGUCCUUGUGCAAGAAGUGCUCGGAACCGAUUGAGAAGAACGCUCUGAGGCAGGGCUUAAUCACCAGAGACCCGCGUGGUUUUGACGCAACCCAAGUGGCACCACUUUGGUUUUCUCUCUCUUGGGUCCGAGUCUGUUGGUUCAGUUGACAAGACUAAAGGGUUUAAUGCUCUGAAGGUAUUGCAAUUAGGGUUUUGAUUUUUUGGUAAUUGGAAAUAUAAAGGUUCUGUUUUUGCAUUGACAAAGAAAAUGGGAUGUGUUGAAGUUUGGAUGUGUGUGGAUUCAACUUCAUUUCCCUAUAUAUUGAUUGUUGCUUUACUUGUUUGUCUAUUCAGAGUAGUGAUCAGGACGCUUUGAAGAAUUUGGUGAACAAAUUUGUGAAAUCUAAUGAGGAGGGAAGUUUUCCUUAAUUUUUCUUCUGAAUUUCAUGUUUUAAAUGAACAAUGUGUUUUAUCUUAACAUCCUUUCGUAUUGAUGAAUAUGAAAUUCAUUAGUGGCAGGAUUCAAAUGGAGAGAAAAGUUCUCACAAACAAAAGGUAAAUAUACUGUGUUUGUAUUUGAUUGCUAAAUUAUUGAAGAUACCAGUGUUCAUUUCUUGGCUUUCCCAAAAUAGGUUUGUGAAGAUGAAGGUGAAAAUGAAGUAGGGGAGAGGGAGUGGAAGAAGGCGAAGGUAUGAUGAACCGUUUUAUAGUAUGUUUGUUUGUUUUACCCUAGGUCUGGAUCGACUCAUACUGCUGUCAUGUACAUGAUGCUAGAUGUGCUGCUAUUGGAAAUUGGAAUGCACAGUUGCUCUUGAGAUAUUAAACGCCUCUUGCAGAAAUAUCAUUGCAUCUAUAGUUACUUAGAGCUCAUAUUAAAUUUGCCUUUACUGGGUUCAAGUACUUUGUAUCUAUUUUUUGUCUGAAGGGUUCAAGUAAUUCCAUGCCAAAAUAUAAGGGAAUUGUGUGCAAACUUAGGAAAGAGAGGAUCUUCCUACGCCCAUUAUAAGCUUUAUGUUCAGUCACUUCAGUGUAUGUAAUUGAGGUGUUGUGGUUAGUUCAGAGCUCUUGUCCUAUAACAGUCUUUACCCUUUCCUACCAUAUCUUUGCGGAUUGCAAUUCCUUAUAUCCUCAUUAUUGCUCUUCUUUCCAUUCUUUUCCCAGUACAUACCUGCAGUGGCAUAUUUACGUUAUGGAGGAUUGUUUUUUUUUUUAAAUGAACAAAUGUAUCUCAGAGACUCCUAUACUUAUAGGGUUAUUAUCUUCCGCAUCAAUAUGUAGGGCCCAAAUGUGACUUAGGGCACAGGAAUCUAUUUCUCAUGUCUGCUUUGUAUUAUGAAUCCUUUAGUUCUUAUCAUGAACUUGAUCAUUAUAUGUAUUUUACUUGCAGGUAUCUAACCUUGAAAUAUCCUUUUCUGUUUCUGAUGUGAAGGACAAGUACAAGGUCUGAUCCGUUUCCUUUUGUUUUCAUUCACACCAGAAUAUCCUUCAAUAUCUUUGUUUUUGGCCCAAGUAUAUUAAUUUAAGCUUUGAAUUUUCUGGUACUCAAGAAAUAUUUCUUUGCUUUUAAAGCUGUACCAUGUACCUUUGUUUUUCUUAUGUUGGAAAUAUUUACUGAUUCAGGAUGCAACUCUUCUGCCUAAAUGGAAGGCAUAAGAUAUUUUGAUUUUAUUUGUAAAGGAAACUUGUUGGGUCUUCUUGAUAAUUCAGAUAGAAAGUACGUACCACUUCAUUCAUUUGUCAGUGUUUGUAUAUUUAUGUAUAUUAUAGUGGCUUACUUCAUUUACCAAGUAUAUGCUUGAUUUCUAUGCUUCCUUUUUUACAUAUGUUUUGGUGAUACCUUUUUCUCACUAGAUGUUGAACACAUUUGAUUCUAUGCAUGUUUGUUUGUUGAUCAGAGCUUCAAUGAUCUUAAGUCUCAUUCAUACAAAUGCAAUAGUACUUUGGUGGCCUUACAUAUUUUUGGCUUUAGCUUACCAACUCCAGAAGCCAAAUUUGGCUUACUAAAUCCUUCAAGCUGAAUUUUUUUCUUGGGAUUUGUAAUUUAGCUUCUGAUGGGAGCAUUCCUUAGCUAAAUUUGGCUUUUUAGCUAAAUGUAGAGCUCAUUGAAUUUGCCUUUGCUGGGUUCAAGUACUUUGUAUUUUAUUUUUUUUGGGUCUGAAGGGUUCAAGUAAGAACGUGCCAAAAUAUAAGAGAAUUGUGUGCAAACUUAGGAAACGAAGGUUCUUCCUACGCCCGUUUUAAGCUUUAUGUUCAGCCACUACAGUGUCUUUGAUUGAGGUGUUGUGUUUAGUUUGGAGCUUUUUUCCUAUACUCUUUACCUUUUCCUACCAUAUCUUUGCGGAUUGCAAUUCCUUAUAUCCUCAUUAUGCUCUUCUUUCCAUUCGUUUCCCAGUACAUAGCUGCAGUGGCAUAUUUACGUUAUGGAGGAUUGUUCUUUCUUUCCUAAAUGAACAAAUGUAUCUCACAGACUCCUAUACUUAUAGACUCCUAGACCCAUUGGCCUCCUAGACUCCUAUGCUUUUAACUCACAUGUCAGGGAGGUACCAUUUCAGGUAACAAAUGCUUUCAAAGCUUUACCAUUUACCUUUGUUUUCCUUAUGUUGGAAAUAUUUUCUGUGGUUGAAAGAUUAGUUGUUCACUCUAGUUUUCCGUUGAGUUGGGAUUUCGGUUUCAGAAGAAAUUUAACGGAACAAGAGAUUGAGGAGUUUGUCUCGUUGAUGGCUAAGUUAGAAAAUGUUCGGUUAGUGGAAUCCAAACCAGAUGAAAGGAGAUGGAAGCUUGAGUCUACCGGGUAUUUCUCUUGUAAAUGUUUUCAUAGAUUCUUGAUUAGUAGGGGAGUACGAACACCUGUGAUGUUCUUCAAAGGAGAAGUCCAGGUUGUUGUUUUUCCCCUCAUUGGUGCAUGUUGUGAAAGCUCAAGGGGAAAGUGUUGAUCAUGUCUUUGUGCAUUGUGAAGUUGUUACUUUCUUAUGCAUAUUUGUUUGUUGAUCAAAGUGUUAAUGAUCUUAAAGUCUCAUUUAUACAAAUGCAAUAGUACUUCGGUGGCCUGACAUAACAUGAUAUGAUAUCUUUGAGCAUUUACAGUUUAAUGUCAUUCACGUGUUCAUUCCACCUUUGAUAUAUACAGGAUGGUGGUCUGCCUGAUUCAAGAAAAAUUGCAACUUUUUAUUUCGAUGGAUGUCUUGCAAAUACUGAUGAUACAAGGUAUGACCAAUAUGAUGUUUCAUGCGCUUCAGUUUCUUUUGGAGUUUACUUCUCAUUCUGUUGGUGGAAAAUAAAUCUAUGCUGAAUAUUUUUUUUAGUAGAAUUAAUGGAGGGGAGUGAAAUUUACACUCCCCAAAUUGAACUCCACACAUUAACUAUGUUUAUUGUAUAUUAUGGUCUUCUGAGUUGCAAUUCUUCUUUGGCCUUGUGCUCCACCCAGAAUGAAAAAUCAAAUUACUCUCACCCAUAUAUCUACAAACCUUUCUCCUCCCAAUCACCUCCGAAACCAAUUUCGAGUUCAAAAUUGGUUUGAAGGUACCGUUUCAUCUUUUUCGUUCUUCUGCAGCUAAGACGCCACUCUCUCUCUCUCUCAUACACACACACACACACACACAUUUAUAUGCGUUUAGGAGGAACUCACCUGAGCAUCUCUCUCUGAUUCAUAUUCAUUGUAAGAUUGAAAUUUGAGACCCUAGAAAAUUGGGGAUUUCGAAUUCAGUAGAUUGGGGUCUGGAAGAGAGACAUUGAAAGAAAGUUGACGGGGUGGAGAUGGAAAGGGUGAGAAUGGAUCUGAGCUGCACUGAUAUACUAUCACAUGUCCUCUUUAUCUUCAACUCCAGGUCGUAGCCCCCUUUAACAAUUUCCCAGAAACCAAACAACCAAACAACCAAACAAGACACAAGAUACAUUCACUUAAUUCAUGUACAACAAAUUGAGAACAAACCAUGGUUACCCAGAAGCCCAAAAUACCAGAUGGAGACAUGAUCACAAUUCAAGAUUUGCUGAGGCUUGUCUCCAUGGAUUUAGAGGUUCAGUCCCGUCGAAGUGGUGGAUAUGGUGGCAGAAGCAAUGGUUACGGAGGAGGGAGUGGUGGCUAUGGAGGUGUUGCCCGUCGUGAAGGUAGAAAGUCGGUGGUGAUGGUGGUGGCUAUGGAGGUGGUGGCCGAGACCCUGGAGGUGGUGGAUAUGUUGUGGCUGCGCGACUGGUUGGUUAUGGUGGUGACUGGUGAUGGACUUUGUGUUUGCCAAAAAAAGGUAAAAGAGGAAUUGCAACUCAGAAGGCCAUAAAAUACAAUGAACUUAGAUAGUGGGAGUGUGGAUUUCAAUUCGGGGAGUUCAAAUCUCACUCCCCUUAAUGAAAUGUGUAUAUGUUCUGUGAGUCAAUCAUCAAUCAUGCCGAAAGCUUUUUCAUAUCUGUUAUCCUAGUUAUUGUUGAUGCCCUGAUGUAUAGUGAAGCAUAUAAUCAGAUAGGUCCAUACUCCAUACUAUGCAGAUUUCAGACUAUAUUUUAUAUUCCAUCCAUGUGUCUUUGUGAAAAGUUAAUAUAAUUUAUAGGCUAAGGGACUUUAAGAUUCUAGUGGAAGUCACGAUUCAUAUAUACCAUGGGCCAUUAAGAAUAAUACUAAAUGUUAAUUGGCUACAGCAGGGAUAUUUUUUUUUUAAAUAUUUAUUUCUGAGGCUUCAGCAAGAAAGAAAUUUUUUACUGUUAAGGCAUUGGUCAAAUUCUUUCGGUUACAUAUCUUUUCAAUAGGUUCCAGCAAUAUAUGAGCAUGUAACAAGUUCCAUUUGUAACAAAGUAAGAAAUAUCGAAUUUGUCACAGAACUCUGAUCAAACUCUUUGAUUGACAACCAAUAUGUUCCUCUAAUGCCAGAGUAGGUGCUGAUGUGUGGUCCCUAAUGUAUCCUUCAAUACCUGAUAGGCUACAGAGCUUGUACGAGGAUGGCUACAAGUUGGUACGUAUAAUGUUUGUCGGCUGUCUUAGGCUCUUAGUUGCAUGGGUUUGCAUUGUUUGGAAGUUUGAGGACAAUGACUCUUUUCCAUCGUCAGGCGAUCUUCACUAAUUAAGCCAACAUUGAGCUCUGGAAAAAUAAGAGACGAGUAGCUGUGGACUCAAAAACUGGACGUCUCAACGAUUUUAUCAAGGGAAGGUCCCAAUUCAGGUAACUUCUUAUGUUCCUUUCUGAUGAAAUAAUGAAUGUAAUUUAUCCUUUAUCAUUUGUUGGUAUCCAACCCUGCAACAAUGAAAAGUAAUUUAGUAGCAUUUUAAUAAAAAAAGAUAUGAUAACUUCAGUUUCUGUCUUUCAGUUACUUUCAGUUAUGUAAUGUUUUAGUGAUAUAGUAUGUGACAUAUAGACAGUGCAAAAAUUCAGAAUGACUAUUUGACUGAUUAUCUAUGAGCUCAUCAAUAGUUAGUCUGAUACCAAUCUUUGUUAACCCCUUCAUACUGAAAAAAAGACAUGCCAAAUACACGUGUAUAUGAGUCACUCACUUCUUUAUGUAGUGUAUGUGGGCAGUUGGUUCUCUUCUAGUAAUUAUUGUCACUCCACAUUAUUAUCAAUUAUCAGUAUAAUACAUCUAAGCAAAUUCUCACCUUUCUAAUUUUUAUUCAAAAAUUCUUAUUUAGUUACGUAUUGUGAUUAGGAUCAUGAAAGGAGAGAGCUUUCUCAAAGUCAUAUGACUAAACGAGCGAAGAAACUGAGGGUGAAGGUAUGACUGACAACUUGUAUUAAAUUAAGUUUGUAUUAUUUAUCUUUAUUCUUUUUAAUUGUAAUUAUUGUAGUAUGACAAAUCAUAUGGAUGCAUGCACUGACCUCAAUAAAAGCACCUAAAUUAGUUCAAGAUUUUUCUUGUUUUUUCAUAUACAAAUUAAAUUUGUUUUUAAAGUCUUUUCUCUGACUGUACCUUAUAGUUCAGCUAUUUGGUUUGACUUGCUUUCAUGAUUAUCAUUUGUCUGAAUUUUGAAAAUCUGUUUUACCCAUUGCACCUGAAAGCUAUCUUUUUCAAAUUGGAUUUUAAAUUGAUAAAGCCCAAGUAGAGAUCAUUGUGUUCUCUGUGUUUCCUUCUUCACUUCACAUCUUACUAAUAAAAGGAUUCGUCGUUAUGAUACUAUGGUUCAAAUGAACUAACCAUUCAAUUUCUGAUUUCCCUUCUAGGAGGAAGAGAUAAAACUGAAACCUGUCAUUGCUUUUGAUUGUGGUAAGUUCCUUUCUACUAUCUUUGUAAUAACACCUUUAGUCGUCAUACUAGUUUAAUCUUAGAAUACUAAAUUUAAAAUCGUGGUCUUACUUUUGAAUAAUAUGCUUUCAAAAAUAAUAUGUUACUAUACAACUGAAUCCGUUGCUGUUUCUUGGCCUCAACAACAUGGAGUUGAAAUUGCAGUAUAUAUGUGCAGCUAAAUCCAUUAGGAAUUUGCUGAUUACGCGUCUUCAAUUCAAGAAAUCAGUUUCAUCUUGGUUGAUGAAUGAAUUGCAAUAUGUUUUAUCCUGCAAAAUUUGUAUGGUUUAUCAGACAUUCUAAUUAGAUUUACCAUUACCUGGAAAUCUAUAUCAGCUGAGACAAGAGAGUGAGAUUGGUGCCCUGUUGUUACAUGUCACAUGGAUACUGCACAGGCAUAUGUUUGGAGACUUCAAAACUUUGUUCUUGGGGAGCAUAUGCUGAAACCAAGACCAGAAAAUCCAACACCUGUGAAGGUUAGAACUCUAUUUACCAUAUCUAUUGUUCUUUUUCAAUAUCUUUUGGGCAAUAUUUACAAGAAACAAUCAAGUUGGAUAUUUCUUCCUUUUUGGUGUGCAGAUGAGCUUUUUUUAUUUGAAUUGUACGAAAUUGGAAUAAGUAUUUUCAGCAACCUGAAAGGCUUGUGUAAAACCACUUCCUUACUCAAGCAUUGUCACAAUGAUUUAAGAUAUUUACUGAAUGCUUGUAUUUGUUUGGUUAUAGGCCUGAACAAUCAGUGUGUGUGGAAAUUUUGCCAUACUAGGGACAGCUGGUGGUUGGAUUCGGCGGUUCAAUCUGCAGUCAGGAAGCAGCCGAGGUAGUUAUGUGGAUCCAUCGGAAAGAAGCGGCUCUGCCCAUGACGGGGAAGUUGUUGGAAUUGCGUAUGAUUCAACUAAUACUCACAUGAUAAGCGCUGGAUAUCAGGGAGACAUAAAGGUUAGUGUGUACUUCAUGCAUACAUUAUGCUGUACAUUGCUAUUAGAUUUACUGGUAGAUAUGCACAUUGCACAAGAAUAUGCUGGUAAGUAAAUUGUCGAAUGAUUAAAUCAAUCAAGUAAAAAGAAGAGUUUUAAGCGUAACGUGAACGGCUUUACCCCCUCUUGUUUGCUGCUGGACAUUUUGUGAGGUAGCUGCUUCCACUAUCCAAAUUAUUUUUCGAAGACUUACCAAUUAUGAAUGGAAACCAUGGAACUAUUUAAAGUUUUAAACCACCUGUAGUAUGGUUAUUUCUAUAUAAACCACCGACGACAUAUAUGGGUCUUAUCGACCGAUUACGUAUUAGGCCGAGUAGCGGAACCAGAAUAUCAGAUCAGGAUGAUUUCUGAACAUCUAAACUAUGUGAUAGUGUGGAAAUCUAAAUCUAGAAAAUGGAUUAAUCAUUACUGGAGAACUGGUUGAUUAUAGAUUUAUACUCUUUAAUAAAUAUGCAGAAUUGGAAUACGACAAUGGAAAUAAAAAAGAUGUUUUCCUGUGGCUUCCCCGCUUUACCUUACACCAGUAGGAAUCUUGCAUCCCCAUCCCUAUAUGUGCGGCUUCUGCCAUCUUUUUAUUUUACGCUUCUAAAUUUGGUUUUUUCUAUCAGCUACUAAUAAUAUAUCUAGUCUCUUAUAUAAUGCUCCAACAACACAGAAAACUUUUCUUCAGGUCAUCUAAAGUUUUCUGGACCUUUUACUCAGAUGUUCUGAUGUACAGGUCUGGGAUUUCAAGGGACGUGCAGUACCAUCUAUAUGGGAAGUUGGGAGCGCUGUUGUCAGGAUUGUAUACAAUCGUUUGAAUGGUAACAUUUGUUUGACAUAUUUUUUGGCAUAUUUUCUUUCCUGCUAUUUGUUACCAUAAAUUCCUUGGAUAAUAUUGUGAUCAAUCAAAUCAACUUUCAGGUCUUUUGGCUAUUGCCGCUGAUGACUUAAUUAUCCACUUGUUUGAUAUUGUUCGAGAUGAGCUAACUAUAGCUUGGGAUGACGAGCUUGAUUCUUUUGUAGCACAUAUAUAUGAGAGAUUUCGAAGAUAGAGCACUUAUCAUUCACACGUAUCAAUUUCGCUCGACUCCUACUCGUUUAGUGCCAUUUCAGCUGUUAAACGGGGUUAAUAGCUUCUGAUUCAUCUCAAUAAUAAGGCUCUAAUGAUUGCAAUUACGAGCCGUAAAUUACUCAAACCUGAAACUGUAUAUUGUGUCGUGUCUCCUUCCCGCAACCAUGUGAUCUUUGCCUUCAAAUGUCUUCCUCAUGUCGCUCCUAUCGAUCAAGUUUCUUAGACACUGCCUUGCGUCCCUGUAGGUAAUUGAUUCUAUAAACAAAAAAUAAAAAAGUCAUCAGAAAAUUAAGUAACUGAAUCAUUCAAGGCAUAUAUACUCUUUUGGAUGUCAGUUUUGCAUUUUGUUUUGCUUCGAAUAGACUUGCUUGACUAGGUGUAAGGAGUUGUACGGAGUUCAUCUGCGCUUGAUCAAUUGAAUGAUUACCAGUAGCAAUUACUGGAUCGACUUCAAUUACCAGUAGCAUUGUAAUCAACACAUUAAGAAAUGUAGUGAUCCAGCAUCAAAAUAGUAGAAGUUAAAUGGCAUCAAAAUCUUCCAACUCACAUGUCAAUACAACAGUUCGAGAGAUCAGUUACCACUAUAAUUUCAUUCAAAAUGUCUUGAGGCAAUUUUCUGGGACCAUUUUCUUGUAAAGAAACAAACAAACAAACAAGCAGUUUUUCUGGGUCUCCAUCUCUACACAAGGGAGGAUAAAAAGAUAUUCAUGAUGGCAUUAUAGCCAAGGACAAGAGGAGAGACAUAACCCAGGACUUGCAUAGUAGUCUCCAUCAUUAAAAGAGCAUGGUCAUAAUCAGCUUGCACUUGUUUACAAAAGGAAGACCCUCCCAAAUUUGUGAAACCUCAGAAUCAUGCAUAUGGACCCAAGGAGAUCACAUGCCACCCAAAGAAAAAUGGGGGAAACGACUAAGAAACACGGGCACAAAAUGCCAUCCCAAUUUGCCUACUGAAUAGUCUGAAUUGAACUAUACAUUGGUAUUGGCUUGCUUGCUACAUAUAGAAUAAAAAAUUUCAGAAAAAUUUUGGUCUCCACUAAAUGAGACACUGGACUGUACCCACAUUUCAGACAAAUUCCAGAUCAGCAGAACUGAGAUUGAUGAAAAAACAAGAUCUGUUCUCUCCCUAUCAAUUCCCUUGAAACUCGUAUCUCAAUUAAUGUUCAAUCUGUCUACAGCAAAAAGCAUACCAGUGACAUCCCAGUGUCCAAGACUCCAAAAAAAAAAAAAAAAAAAAGAAAGUUUUUGGGCAUUUAUAAAUAUGUUUCACGACCAAAAAAAANNNNNNNNNNNNNNNNNNNNNNNNNNNNNNNNNNNNNNNNNNNNNNNNNNNNNNNNNNNNNNNNNNNNNNNNNNNNNNNNNNNNNNNNNNNNNNNNNNNNNNNNNNNNNNNNNNNNNNNNNNNNNNNNNNNNNNNNNNNNNNNNNNNNNNNNNNNNNNNNNNNNNNNNNNNNNNNNNNNNNNNNNNNNNNNNNNNNNNNNNNNNNNNNNNNNNNNNNNNNNNNNNNNNNNNNNNNNNNNNNNNNNNNNNNNNNNNNNNNNNNNNNNNNNNNNNNNNNNNNNNNNNNNNNNNNNNNNNNNNNNNNNNNNNNNNNNNNNNNNNNNNNNNNNNNNNNNNNNNNNNNNNNNNNNNNNNNNNNNNNNNNNNNNNNNNNNNNNNNNNNNNNNNNNNNNNNNNNNNNNNNNNNNNNNNNNNNNNNNNNNNNNNNNNNNNNNNNNNNNNNNNNNNNNNNNNNNNNNNNNNNNNNNNNNNNNNNNNNNNNNNNNNNNNNNNNNNNNNNNNNNNNNNNNNNNNNNNNNNNNNNNNNNNNNNNNNNNNNNNNNNNNNNNNNNNNNNNNNNNNNNNNNNNNNNNNNNNNNNNNNNNNNNNNNNNNNNNNNNNNNNNNNNNNNNNNNNNNNNNNNNNNNNNNNNNNNNNNNNNNNNNNNNNNNNNNNNNNNNNNNNNNNNNNNNNNNNNNNNNNNNNNNNNNNNNNNNNNNNNNNNNNNNNNNNNNNNNNNNNNNNNNNNNNNNNNNNNNNNNNNNNNNNNNNNNNNNNNNNNNNNNNNNNNNNNNNNNNNNNNNNNNNNNNNNNNNNNNNNNNNNNNNNNNNNNNNNNNNNNNNNNNNNNNNNNNNNNNNNNNNNNNNNNNNNNNNNNNNNNNNNNNNNNNNNNNNNNNNNNNNNNNNNNNNNNNNNNNNNNNNNNNNNNNNNNNNNNNNNNNNNNNNNNNNNNNNNNNNNNNNNNNNNNNNNNNNNNNNNNNNNNNNNNNNNNNNNNNNNNNNNNNNNNNNNNNNNNNNNNNNNNNNNNNNNNNNNNNNNNNNNNNNNNNNNNNNNNNNNNNNNNNNNNNNNNNNNNNNNNNNNNNNNNNNNNNNNNNNNNNNNNNNNNNNNNNNNCUCCUCAGUCCUAAUCUCUUCUGCGAUGAUUUAGAUCAUACAUUCAUAAUUCAUACAUUACAAUGUAAGUUACUCGAAUCUACAAAAAAACCAGUUGCACAUAACAAAUAGCAAGCUUCAGGACAGAGAAGAUCAGCAGAACUGAGAUUGAUGAAAAUACAUGAUCUGUUCUCUCUCUAUCAAUUCCCUUGAAACUCAUAUCUCAAUUAAUGUUUUUUAGUCUGUCUACAGGAAAAAGCAUAUUGUAUGUCUGUGACAUUCCAAUGUCCAAAACUCUAAGUUCUUCAGUUUUUUCUUUUCUUUUUUUAAAAAACAAAAAAAAACAAAAAAAAAACAAAAUCAGGGAAGAGCCAAGAGAAACCUUGUCAUGAAAAUGCAAUAUAAAAGAUAAGUUCAAAAUAGUAUUUUGAAGGAGACAGAGACAUGAUGUAUCAAAGCAUGACAUCAAAACCAAAAUCCUAAACUAGGUACCAUAUCAAUUACAAAUGACUACUUGCAAUGCAAUUUGCAAAACUUACAUGACCGGGAGGAAAAAUAAUAUCACAACCAGUCAACCAUACUGAUUAAAUAAAAAGUGAUUCCAUUUCUUGUCUCCUGCAUUCAUCCUAAAGCCAUUGAGGGGGUCUACUCGAUAAAGAUCACAUUUUACGCCAAGCCUACUAGGAACCAUGAAUGUACAUUGAGAAAAAGACAAAAAAAAACCUGUCAAUAUAUAUACCAGUUAAAGACCAUCAAAGCAUAUAGCAUUCAGCACCUGAUAAAUAUAACUGAACCAUAAUAUAUGUUGUCUAUAGUAUUUGUUAAUAUAAGUUAUGCUUAAAUUACCAGUAGCAUUGUAGUGAACCCAUGCUACCAACCUUAAGAAAUUAGAAAUGUAGUGAUCCUGCAUCAAAAUAGUAGAAGUUACUUCUAAAGACAAAUUCCUCUGCUGGAACCAUGAUACUUGUCAAAUAGGAUGUCAAAGUGAUUCGGUUUCAUUUUAUUCUCACAAAAGAACAUUACUGAUAUGAUUAAUUUUUUCUUCUUAUAACUAAAUCGGAAUUACAAAACCAUGAGGUUCUGGUUGUGGUGUGGUAGAAUUUAUAUCAACACAAUAUAAGGGGCAGUGGAUAAUUUUCUUCUUUAUUACAAGAACAAGAAUGCUGAACUCAAGUCCUAAUCUCUUCUGCCAUGAUAACAGAAUAUACUGGUAACUAGUUAAUAAAUUAACAGCUUUACUAGCAAUAUUGAGCAGAAGGAACUCAUAAAAAAUUAUCAAAUACAAACCAGUAAACAAAAUAUUGGCUAUACAGAGAGGAGCCAAACCAUAUCAAGAUCUCAUCACAUCUUUCUGCAAAUGUAUUUCAUGAUUUAAUGCCCUGAAACUCGUGCCAUGAAAAAGAUAUUCUAUGUGUGAGAGAGUUCAUGUUUAGCAGAUAAAACGAAUUAGAUCAUACAUUCAUACAUUGCGAUACAAGUUACUAGAAUCUCAAAAAGACAGUGCGUUUAUUGAUAUAACAAAUGGCAAGUUUCAGGACAGAGAAAUAAGCAGAACUGUGAUUGAUGAAAAUCGAUUGACGUUUAGUAACGCAUAUUGUAUGUCUAUGUCAUUGCAAUGCCCAACUUCCAGCAGUUUUUAUUAUUUUUUUAAUUAUUUAUAUUAAUUUUAGGGAAGAGCUAAGAGAACCUUGUCAUGAAAAUUGAAGAUAAAAUAUAAGUUCUAAAGAGUGUAUUUUGAAGGAGACAGAGACAGGAUAUAUCAAAGCCUGACAUCAAAACCAAAAUCCUGAACUAUGUACCAUAUCAAUAACAAAUGACUACUUGAAUGAAUCAGCAAAACUUACAUGACAAGGAAAAAUAAUAUCACAACCAUACCGAUUAAAUAAAAAAUGCUUCCAUUUCUUCUCUCCUGCAAUCAUCCUAAAGUCAUUGUGGGGGUCUACUUGAUAAAGAUCACCUUUUACACCAAGCCUACUGGGAACGAUGAAUGCACAUUGAGAAAAAGAAUAAACAAAUUGAACCUUAUAAAGAACAUCAAAGCAUAUAGCAUUCAACACCUGAUAAAAUAAUUGAACCUUAAUAUAUGUUGUCUAUAGUGAUUUGUGAAUAUAAGGUAUGGCUUCAAUUACCAGUAGCAUUGUAGUCAACACAUUAAGAAAUGUAGUGAUCCUGCAUCAAAACAGUCAUAGAAGUUACUUUUAAAGACAGACUCCUCUAGUGGAACCAUGAUACUUGUCAAAUAGGAUGUCAAAGUGAUUCCAGUAACUUAUUAUUCCAGUAACUUGGAAGGCAUCAAAAUCUUCUAACUCAAAUGCCAAUACAACACAAUAGAGAUCAGUUAAUUACCAUUAUAAUUUCAAAAGUCUCAGGCAAUUUUCUGGGACCAUUUUGCAGGUAGCUUGUAAUGUUGGUGGUUCUGCAUCAAGUUGAAGGGUAACGUUAACAACACUGUUGUAUCAGACUAGUUACUAGCUUACAGGUACCAUGCCAAGGAUCACAUGCAGCUGAGUGAUAUUAUGAAACAAGU
This 25566-nucleotide long non-coding RNA is filed under the name Fragaria vesca (wild strawberry). RNAcentral describes it as "long non-coding RNA (FVES_LNC000481)". Lineage: Eukaryota; Viridiplantae; Streptophyta; Magnoliopsida; Rosales; Rosaceae. The record is from RNAcentral.